CUAUGAUGAAUACUAAACUUAAAAUAGCUGGAAUUACCUGUAGUGGUGACAUUUGGUUUUGUGAAA
Molecule: small nucleolar RNA, 66 nt
Filed under: Salmo trutta (river trout)
Lineage: Eukaryota; Metazoa; Chordata; Actinopteri; Salmoniformes; Salmonidae
Source: RNAcentral